This is a long non-coding RNA of Biomphalaria glabrata, 1135 nucleotides long. RefSeq lists it as uncharacterized. The record is from RefSeq and is a predicted model, not a curated record. The transcript has 2 exons. NCBI's taxonomy places the organism in Eukaryota, Metazoa, Mollusca, Gastropoda, Planorbidae.
UGUUUGUAGUUUAGUCCGGGUGUAAUGUUUGAAAACCUGGUAAUUUUUUCUCUGUUAUUGGGUAGGUGGUGUUUUAGGGCUAGUUCGUCAGUAAGUUGGAUCAGAGUCCGUUGCUUUUUUUGGUUGUUUUUCCUAUUUCUCUGUGUUAGUAAUUUAUUUUUUCAUAUUGAGUCAGAGCUUAAUGGAGUUUCAUGAAUAAAGGAUGUUAUUCCCUACAGUGCUUUAUUUGAGCCAUUAAUUUACAUUUCCUCUAAAAAGAUUUUCUUUCCAACUUCCUAUUAUAGACAGCAUGUUUGUAGAAUUGAAGUCUAGUUUCACUAUGUCGUGUUAAUAAGCAGUUGUUUGUAUACUAUUAGGCAAAUAAGUGUAAAGCAUCAUUUUGUCCAGUAAACAAAUGGUACAUUUUGUAGUGAGAGAUUAUUCAGUAGAGUGGUCAUCCUCGAAGUUGCAAUUGAUAAAAAAAUACAGAGCAAGUUGGCUUCACUUCCACUGAGCGUGAAAGAGACAAAAGUUUAGAAAUAGAUGCACUGAUUUUGGACUUGCUAAUCAGAAGGCCCAAAAAUUAUUUUUUUUUAUUAAAUGAGCAUGAGAUCUAUCAUAUGCUCUUAAAUGUGCAAUUCUUGUGUAUAUAAUAUAUAUAUAUAUACACACACACACAUAUAUAUAUAUAUACAUAACGAAUCUCACUGUCCAGGCUCUCUGCAAACUGCACAACAGGACACUACCAACUAAAGAACUUGACAACUCAAGGCUCCAAAUAACGUAAUAGUUUAAUGUCCAUUUUAUUGAAUUGAGUUUGAAAGUAUUCAACUGAAGACAAUUAUUCAGUACCGGUACUGAGUUGCUUCAUUAUGUCUUGUGGUGUGUUGGAUAGAUUUGCAGGUACAUUCGAAUCCGCGUAUGCCAGAUGGUUAAUCGUGGAGAUCAAACAAGCUCUACAAAAUAUGUCUGACAUAAUAAUUGAUUAUUGUAUAUAUAUCAAAUAACUCGUACAUUUCAAAAUAAAAGUACAUACAACUUUAUAAAAUUGAAAUACCCAUUUAAUAAUGGCGACCAGCAUUUAUUCUUAUGCUCUCUGACGUCCUCCAUCUUAACAUCAUCACAUUCAUGCAUGUAUUCGACCCAAGCUGCACAU